AAGGAAACGGCGCCACGUGUCCAUGUUCAGCGCUUCAUUAAGUCUCCGCGUGAUGGGCUUCAAUCGUUUGACGUUAUUAGGGUUUUGGACUUUGUCAUUUUUCCAGGCCGACGAGCCUUCCGCCCUAAUCUUCUCCUUUACGCCGUCUCAUCUUCAGGGUUCAUCCUCUCUCUACGAUCUAUCGCGACGUCUGAUCUUCAUCUUCAUCACCUAAGCGGUUCCUGUUACGGAUUCUUCAUAUUGAAUCCCUUAUUAAUUCAAUCAACACCGAUAUAGUCUUGAAUGCAAGAUGUUCUUCAGCUAGGCGGUUUGUCAGGGAAUAUAAAAAGGAUCCUUGAUAGUCUCCGUUUUCCUUCUUCGCCUUCACCAUCAAUCAUUGCAGCUCCUCUGGCCGAUUGAGAAACUCGAGUUGGUCUUAUAGAGGAGCAGUUGGGGUUUCUUCAGUUGGUUCAAAGUAUAUGGCUGCUUCAAUCUCAACAAGUCUCAUUCUCACUGUUAGAUCCUAGGCAGUAUUAGUAUGCAGCAGCGUGUUAUACUUCGGCUUGAUCUGCAAAGAAGUAGCAAAGGUCGUUCCUGCUCAGACCUUGGCUGAUCAAGAACUGACGGAGACCAUGCAGAAGCUUCUCAUUGUAAUGCAAAGACUAGAUGACAAGAUUGGUCUAAUGCUUGAAUCAGACGGCGAGCUCUUCAACAAAAGGUUUCUCUUAAAAAGGGGCAAACUACGCAAGUAUCUAUGAUACCUCUUCUUUGUGACUCAUAGUUUUUGGGACAAAAGAUACUUGAUGAGACAAAUCGAAAAGUAUAUCCGCUGACAUAUACACAUCAAGAGUAUCCAACUUCCUCAACUACACACCCUUCAUGUAUUUCCGCUCACAGGAGCAGGUCAAAAAGCUUGGGAGAGUUCCAUUGAUAAACUGUGCUAAAACCAGCAUGUCCUCCAAACUGAUAUCUGGUGACAGGGACUUCUUUGCCAAUUUGGUUGUGGAUGCUGUUCUAUCAGUGAAGAUGACAAAUCAGCGAGGGGAGAUAAAGUACCCUAUCAAGGGGAUCAAUAUUCUGAAAGCUCAUGGACAAAGUGCGCGAGACAGCUAUUUGUUGAAAGGAUAUGCGCUCAAUACUGGCAGCGCUGCCCAGGGAUGCCAUUAAGAGUGUCUCCAGCCAAGAUUGCUUGCCUUGACUUCAAUCUUCAGAAGACAAAAAUGCAGCUGGGUGUCCAAGUUGUUGUUAACGAUCCACGAGAACUUGAAAAAAUCCGUCAAAAGUAUUUUUUUUUUACUGUUUUCCUUCAUCUGCAAUUGGUUUGUUAAGCUCUGGCUCAAACUUGAUGUAAUCUUUUAUACAAAUAAGUAUGGAUAGAGGUGUAAUAGUAGAAAUUCUGAAGCUCAAAGCCUCUGUUUUUGUAUAAAUGUGUAAUAUUCAUAUUCUCUGAACUAAGUUGAAGCUGGCCUUGGACUGCUUUGAUUU
Molecule: RNA transcript, 1464 nt
Organism: Brassica rapa (field mustard)
Lineage: Eukaryota; Viridiplantae; Streptophyta; Magnoliopsida; Brassicales; Brassicaceae
Gene name: T-complex protein 1 subunit alpha-like
Source: RefSeq, a predicted model, not a curated record